UGGGGAAUCUUCCGCAAUGGGCGAAAGCCUGACGGAGCAAUGCCGCGUGAACGAAGAAGGUCUUCGGAUUGUAAAGUUCUGUCCUCAUCGAAGAGAGGUGCCAGUAGUAACUGACGGGCACAGGACGGUAGAUGAGGAGGAAGCCCCGGCUAACUACGUGCCAGCAGCCGCGGUAAAACGUAGGGGGCAAGCGUUGUCCGGAAUCACUGGGCGUAAAGGGCGCGUAGGCGGCAAUAUAAGUCAGGUGUGAAAUGUAGGGGCUUAACCCUUAAACUGCACCUGAUACUGUAUAGCUUGAGAGUGAGAGAGGGAAGCGGAAUUCCUAGUGUAGCGGUGAAAUGCGUAGAUAUUAGGAAGAACACCAGUGGCGAAGGCGGCUUCCUGGCUCACAACUGACGCUGAGGCGCGAAAGCGUGGGGAGCAAACAGG
This 429-nucleotide ribosomal RNA is filed under the name uncultured bacterium. Its description in RNAcentral is "bacterial SSU rRNA". It matches the Rfam family "Bacterial small subunit ribosomal RNA", at positions 355 to 776 of the family's 1533-position model. The record is from RNAcentral.